GCUUUGUUUUUCCUUCAGUCGGUUGCAGGGUUCUUUAGGUGGGUCAGAGUCUAUGGACUGAUGCGUUUUCCAGUAGAAACCGGUACGCAUAUCUUUUUGAGUUGGUAACUGGUAGGAUCUGUCAGUGUAAAGCAAUCUAGUAGUAGGUGCCUGUAUUGCACGCAGCUCUUCCUCAGUUCCAGUUACUGUCGGCUGUGGUUAUGAGGUGCCUCAGGAUGUGCUUAUUUUCUUGUUUCCGCCCUUCCCUCGUGCAGCCUUGGAGAGAUGAAGUCCCCAUGGUGUGGAGUGGUGCAAAAAGAGGAAUGGUCCAACAAUUCGGGUUAAUAGGGGACAAGAGAACAAAGGGGUUUCAGAAUAACUGCUAACUGUUAUGACUAUUGCAUGGGGCACUAUGCAAGUCUCUGACAUCCAGCCAAGAUGGACAAAGGAGAAGGACAAGGGAAAAGCCUGGGAGGAAGACUAUGAGCCUUCAGUACGAGAGACCCGCAGAGGGACCACCAGAGACUGGUAACACAUGCGCCAGUGGGCGGGUUCGGAUUCCAGGAACUAGUUAUAAUAACCCUGCCUUUUCUAGAAGUAGUAAUGAAUAUGUAUUAGCCUAGGAGCAUAAAAACCAGCCGCCUGC
Molecule: non-coding RNA, 625 nt
Organism: Anas platyrhynchos (mallard)
Lineage: Eukaryota; Metazoa; Chordata; Aves; Anseriformes; Anatidae
Source: RefSeq, a predicted model, not a curated record